Molecule: long non-coding RNA, 953 nt
Organism: Ictalurus furcatus (blue catfish)
Lineage: Eukaryota; Metazoa; Chordata; Actinopteri; Siluriformes; Ictaluridae
Exons: 3
Source: RefSeq, a predicted model, not a curated record
CGAAACGCCAUUAGCUAGCUGUUCCCUUGUCAGAGAAAAACGCCGAACAUGACUUGAUAAAUUGCUGUGGGAAGUUUGGUUCUCCCCAAACUGAGUUAAAAUAAGAGCCAGCAUCUCUUCUGUACUGCAGUGCGUCUUGGACAGCUGGGACGCCAUUUUGUGAAUGGAGCGUGAUCACAUACAGGAUUGCAGUAUGGAGCAUUCGAAACCUGGCCAGACUCUGCAAGAGCCAAACAGCACCUAAUCAUCCCCAAAACCUGGCCUGUGCCGCAGCUAAUCUCGUUCUUCUCCCGGUUUCUCCUCCAAAAAGACGGCACAUGUGCGGAGCCCGUGUCUGCGCACACACCGAUACCAGGCCAAGACUGCCUCGGGUCAGUAUGAGGCUGAUUACCAAAUAUCCUGUUGUUCCCAGUGCCUUAGAAGUGGUUUUACAGCACUGGGAAAUGAUGUUAUAGCCAAAACACCUCUUAACUAACCUCUCGAAAUAUUUCCACCAAAUAUCUUCAAAAUGUGGCAAAUAUUUGUUUUUUGCUGUUGUUUUUUUUUGUUUUUUUUUUAGUCAAGUACAUUCCUCUGAAAUCCUUGUUGAGAUUUCCUUCUGCUUGGAUGGAAAUCUUUAUUUCUCUUCUUCACACCAUCUUAUCCAUCUUCUCCUGCUCGCUCUGUCGUUCCAGUUCAAAAGCUCUGAGCCCAAGGAUUGCUACCAACGAUCAUCAUCAGCCAUUCUGAUAUAAAAGGUUGCUAAAUGUUGCUAAAUAAAACUUGUUCAUACUACACCGAAGAGCAGUGCAAACAUUAUCAUCAGUUAUGAGCUGUUUCUGAACAAAGACACUGUGUUCUGGUUUGGAGAAGAACGGAGAGAGAGAGAAAGAGACAGACACAGAGAGAGAGAGAGAGACAGAGAGACAGAAAGAGAGACAGACACACAGAGAGAGGGACAGGGAGAGAGAGAG